Molecule: ribosomal RNA, 460 nt
Filed under: uncultured bacterium
Lineage: Bacteria
Description: partial 16S ribosomal RNA
Rfam family: Bacterial small subunit ribosomal RNA
Source: RNAcentral
CCUACGGGUGGCAGCAGUGAGGAAUAUUGGUCAAUGGACGCGAGUCUGAACCAGCCAUGUCGCGUGCAGGAUGACGGCCCUACGGGUUGUAAACUUCUUUUAUACAGGAAUAAAGUCAGGCACGCGUGCCUGUCUGUAAGUAUUUUAUGAAUAAGGAUCGGCUAACUCCGUGCCAGCAGCCGCGGUAAUACGGAGGAUCCAAGCGUUAUCCGGAUUUAUUGGGUUUAAAGGGUGCGUAGAUGGGUUGUUAAGUUAGUUGUGAAAGCUUGCGGCUCAACGGUAAAAUUGCAAUUGAUACUGGUAGUCGUGAGUACAGUUGAGGUAGGCGGAAUGCGUGGUGUAGCGGUGAAAUGCUUAGAGAUCACGAAGAACUCCGAUUGCGAAGGCAGCUUACCAAGCUGCCACUGACAUUGAUGCUCGAAAGUGUGGGUAUCAAACAGGAUUAGAUACCCCAGUAGUC